RNAcentral lists this ribosomal RNA (468 nucleotides) under uncultured Streptococcus sp. Its description in RNAcentral is "bacterial SSU rRNA". It matches the Rfam family "Bacterial small subunit ribosomal RNA", at positions 912 to 1382 of the family's 1533-position model. The record is from RNAcentral. Lineage: Bacteria; Bacillati; Bacillota; Bacilli; Lactobacillales; Streptococcaceae.
AGACGGGGACUCGCACAAGCGGUGGAGCAUGUGGUUUAAUCGAAGCAACGCGAAAGAACCUUACCAGGUCUUGACAUCCCGAUGCUAUUCUAGAGAUAGAAAGUUACUUCGGUACAUCGGUGACAGGUGGUGCAUGGUUGUCGUCAGCUCGUGUCGUGAGAUGUUGGGUUAAGUCCCGCAACGAGCGCAACCCCUAUUGUUAGUUGCCAUCAUUCAGUUGGGCACUCUAGCGAGACUGCCGGUAAUAAACCGGAGGAAGGUGGGAUGACGUCAAAUCAUCAUGCCCCUUAUGACCUGGGCUACACACGUGCUACAAUGGUUGGUACAACGAGUUGCGAGUCGGUGACGGCGAGCUAAUCUCUUAAAGCCAAUCUCAGUUCGGAUUGUAGGCUGCAACUCGCCUACAUGAAGUCGGAAUCGCUAGUAAUCGCGGAUCAGCACGCCGCGGUGAAUACGUUCCCGGGCCUU